RNAcentral lists this ribosomal RNA (403 nucleotides) under uncultured bacterium. RNAcentral's name for it is "bacterial SSU rRNA". It matches the Rfam family "Bacterial small subunit ribosomal RNA", at positions 356 to 773 of the family's 1533-position model. The record is from RNAcentral.
GGGGAAUAUUGGGCAAUGGGCGGAAGCCUGACCCAGCAACGCCGCGUGAUUGAAGAAGGCUUUCGAGUUGUAAAAAUCUGUCCUUGGGGACGAAAAAAAUGACGGUACCCAAGGAGGAAGCCCCGGCUAACUACGUGCCAGCAGCCGCGGUAAUACGUAGGGGGCGAGCGUUGUCCGGAAUUACUGGGCGUAAAGGGUGCGCAGGCGGUGCUCUAAGUCAGAUGUGGAAUAUCCAUGCUUAACGUGGAGGGUGCAUUUGAAACUGGAGCACUUGAGUGCAGGAGAGGAAAGUGGAAUUCCUAGUGUAGCGGUGAAAUGCGUAGAUAUUAGGAGGAACGCCAGUGGCGAAGGCGACUUUCUGGACUGUAACUGACGCUGAGGCACGAAAGCGUGGGGAGCAAAC